Non-coding RNA from Cinara cedri, 236 nucleotides. The record is from the annotation of a GenBank genome assembly. Lineage: Eukaryota; Metazoa; Arthropoda; Insecta; Hemiptera; Aphididae.
UCUAAAUGACACUUCAUAUACAUGUGAAAACGCGGGAUAAAUAAUACUAUUCAUCCAAGGGAUGCACUCUGGAGAGUUUUCACGAUCUCUAAAGGUCUGAAGGACUACAUAAUAUACAUUAUAUUAUUAUAUUUAUAGUAAGAACGUAUUAUUAUUAUUACGUUAAGUACGUUCGCACAGGAAUCCAUUGUGUACACUAUUGUUAAAAGUACCCCUAUAUACCCUGUAUAAUAUAU